AUGUCCCCACGGAAGAUACCCUUUGUGUUCACCAGCAGGAUGAUACGCAGCUUUCACUGACAUUUGUGCCUUGGAUCUACCGUUCCUCCUCCAUUUUGCUGUGACAUCAGCAAUUAUAAGAAAAUCACGACACCCAAAGGCUGCAUCAGAAGAAAGAGCCAAGUAGCUGAUAACUCUUUCUGCUUACAGAGUGGUGUUUGGUCCCAGCUUUUACCUGAUACGUGGCA
Lonchura striata (white-rumped munia) is the source of this 227-nucleotide long non-coding RNA. RefSeq lists it as uncharacterized. NCBI's taxonomy places the organism in Eukaryota, Metazoa, Chordata, Aves, Passeriformes, Estrildidae. The record is from RefSeq and is a predicted model, not a curated record.